ACAAGCAUACCCAAAAAUAUAUUAAAUAAUAAAAAUUUAUCAAAUCUGAUCUAAAAUUGGAAACCCCCAAAAUUUAAUUUAAAACUCGAAUUAUUUAGUUACCGUUUAAACUUUUAGAGCAGCCAAUAGUACACAUUAGCAUACAAGAUCAACCAAUAAAGAAGCUUUUCGAGAAGUAUCAUAAACGUGUGUUUUUUGGAUUUAAAGAUUUUUGGUUUCUUAUAAAUAGUGAGCAAUCCACUUUUGAUCUUCAUAAACAAAUUUCUACUUCCCAAGAUUGUAUCUUCGACUUCUAAAACAAAACAUUUAAUUUUUCAAAAUGGUGGCCAUUAAGAAGACAACUUUUUUCCUUUUAUUCAUUGCCAUUGCAAUGAUCUUUGCUAGUGGAGUGUCUGCUGAUAGAGUUCCAGCAUGUGACGAGGUAUGCGGUCGUAUAAACCGUGAGAAGGAUUCAUGUUGUCAAGCUCAUGGAUACUCCUAUUCUACAGGAUGCCGCGGUGGAAUGCAGUGUGCGUGAAAACUUUCUUUAUUUUUAAAAACUAUUAAUCAUUGUAUACAAUAAAUAUUUAAAUUCAUAAAAAUAAA
Eupeodes corollae is the source of this 585-nucleotide long non-coding RNA. RefSeq lists it as uncharacterized. The transcript is spliced from 2 exons. NCBI's taxonomy places the organism in Eukaryota, Metazoa, Arthropoda, Insecta, Diptera, Syrphidae. The record is from RefSeq and is a predicted model, not a curated record.